Tarenaya hassleriana is the source of this 247-nucleotide long non-coding RNA. RefSeq lists it as uncharacterized. Lineage: Eukaryota; Viridiplantae; Streptophyta; Magnoliopsida; Brassicales; Cleomaceae. The transcript is spliced from 4 exons. The record is from RefSeq and is a predicted model, not a curated record.
UCGUUAUUGCCCCCUUCGCUCUUCUCUAUGAAAGGAAAAUACGCCCAAAGAUGACGGUCGGAGUGUUCCUACGAAUAGCCUUGCUCGGCUUUAUUGAGCCAGUGUUGGAUCAGAAUCUCUACUAUGUCGGGAUGACUUACACGUCAGCAACCUUCGCUUCAGCCACCGCUAAUGUCCUUCCCGCCAUCACCUUCAUCAUGGCACUCAUUUUCAGAUUAGAGAGCGUGAACAUGAAGAAGGUACGAAG